RNAcentral lists this ribosomal RNA (230 nucleotides) under uncultured bacterium. RNAcentral describes it as "partial 16S ribosomal RNA". It matches the Rfam family "Bacterial small subunit ribosomal RNA", at positions 524 to 752 of the family's 1533-position model. The record is from RNAcentral.
UACGUAGGGAGCAAGCGUUGUCCGGAAUCAUUGGGCGUAAAGCGCGCGUAGGUGGCUCCAUAAGUCCGUUGUGAAAGUCAAAGGCUCACCUUUGAAAGCCGAUGGAUAACUGUGGAGCUAGAGUACGGAAAGAGGCGAGUGGAAUUCCUGGUGUAGCGGUGGAAUGCGUAGAGAUCCGGAAGAACACCGGUGGCGAAGGCGGCCUGCUGGGCAGUAGCCUGACGCGAGGC